RNAcentral lists this transfer RNA (74 nucleotides) under Klebsiella pneumoniae. RNAcentral describes it as "tRNA-Lys(ttt)". It matches the Rfam family "tRNA". From Rfam's summary of the family: Transfer RNA (tRNA) molecules are approximately 80 nucleotides in length. Their secondary structure includes four short double-helical elements and three loops (D, anti-codon, and T loops). The record is from RNAcentral. Lineage: Bacteria; Pseudomonadati; Pseudomonadota; Gammaproteobacteria; Enterobacterales; Enterobacteriaceae.
GGUCGUUAGCUCAGUUGGUAGAGCAGUUGACUUUUAAUCAAUUGGUCGCAGGGUUCGAAAUCCUGCACGACCCC